AAAGACUGAAGACUAUCCCCCUUCUUAGAGUU
RNAcentral lists this transfer RNA (32 nucleotides) under Aquila chrysaetos (golden eagle). RNAcentral describes it as "partial tRNA-Thr". The record is from RNAcentral. Lineage: Eukaryota; Metazoa; Chordata; Aves; Accipitriformes; Accipitridae.